RNAcentral lists this small RNA (522 nucleotides) under Malus domestica (apple). RNAcentral's name for it is "sRNA MD03G0054300". The record is from RNAcentral. Lineage: Eukaryota; Viridiplantae; Streptophyta; Magnoliopsida; Rosales; Rosaceae.
UAUAGCUAGGGUUUUGCUCAUAAACGCUAGCACCUCGCUCCCUCACUCCCACAACGCAUCUCCCAUUUCUCAUCCGCCGGUUCUCAUCGGAGGACCUCCAACAAAUAUCGCAAGGUUUUCCAGUCUCGCUUCGCCGCCAUGAGAGCCAAGUGGAAGAAGAAGAGGAUGAGGAGGUUGAAGAGGAAGCGCCGAAAGAUGAGGCAGAGAUCCAAGUGAGAGCAGCAGCUGAGUGUAGCUGUUCACAUAGGGGUUCUCGUGUCCUUUUGGAUUUUAUCAGACUUAGCGGUUUGUUUAGAAUUAAUGUGAAACCUUUGGCGUUCUUAUCUGUUUAUCUUUGCUGCAUUUCUUAAUAUUUAAAUGGAAUUUGACUGCUUUUUAUGAUUGCUUUGGUUUGAUUAAAGUGUGGUUUUACUUGUUGUUUGAGUUGUUUAUGUUUUGCAUUGUGGAUUAUCUGAGUAGAAUGUUAAAUUUUGGGGUUGAUUUCAAAUUGUUUAGUUAAAUUUAGGAACCAUGAAAACCCAU